CCCUUAGAUGUCCUGGGCUGCACGCGCGCUACACUGAUGUGUUCAAUAAGCACCUAACCUACUCCGAAGGGACUGGGUAACCUUUGCAAAGCACAUCGUGAUGGGGAUAGAUUAUUGCAAUUAUUAGUCUUGAACGAGGAAUUCCUAGUAAGCGCAAGUCAUCAGCUUGUGUUGAUUACGUCCCUGCCCUUUGUACACACCGCCCGUCGCUCCUACCGAUUGAGUGAUUCGGUGAAUACUUCGGAGUGUGAACUCUACAGUUUCUGUUUUGUUCGCGCAAAGUUGAAUAAACCUUAUCACUUAGAGGAAGGAGAAGUCGUAACA
Molecule: ribosomal RNA, 324 nt
Filed under: uncultured eukaryote
Lineage: Eukaryota
Description: partial 18S ribosomal RNA
Rfam family: Eukaryotic small subunit ribosomal RNA
Source: RNAcentral